Lacerta agilis (Sand lizard) is the source of this 488-nucleotide non-coding RNA. NCBI's taxonomy places the organism in Eukaryota, Metazoa, Chordata, Lepidosauria, Squamata, Lacertidae. The record is from the annotation of a RefSeq genome assembly.
UGGUGAUAAUAUCUGGGAGCCAAGAAAGAGUGUCAUCCAUCAUGUUGCAGAUUUGCUUGAUUUGGCUGGUCUCGAGUUUCUUUGAGGAAUCCAGCGGGCAGAUUGUCAUCACUCAGACACCAGCUUCGAUACAGGCGAAUCUUGGGGACAGAGUCUCCAUCCAGUGCAGGGCUUCCUCUUCUGUCAGUAGCUAUAUGAGUUUAUAUGAGUUUAAACCAGGACAGAAGCCCAAGCUACUGAUUUAUCAGGCUUCAAACCGUUUCGAAGGGAUCCCAGAUCGCUUCAGCGGCAGCCAAAGCGGCAACGACUUCUCCUUCACUAUCAACGGUGUCAAAACCGAGGAUGUAGGGGACUAUUACUGUGGCCAAAGCUACAGCUAUCCUCUCCACAGUGAUACAAUUCAGUACAAAAACCAGCUCAGUAGUCUGAAGACUUCAGGAAGAGAUGCCUAUCAGUGCUUUGCAGCAGCUCCACUCAGUGAGCUGUAA